ACUCAGGUCCGACACUGGCUCCGCUGGUACGGACUGUGCACCUGCUCUGGGCCAGGUAAAGUGCCCGGUGAAGGAUUGAUCCCAUGGAGUCACAUCCACCACUGAGGAAGGAGCCACAAGGACAAGGAGACUUGAUCGCCUGCAGAGGUGACGCAGGCACGUGACUCGGGACUCCAUGGGGAAUGUGUGACCGAGGAUGGUCGUCAGGACAGAGUGCAUGGUGAUGUGGCAGCUUCAGCCUGAAGGAAGAAUUUCAUUGUGAUUCUUCAACCCUUGUUUUUCUCUGCUGAGUGUCACACCCUCUAAGCCGACACAGUAUGUCCCACACAACUGUUACUUCAAAAGUGCUUCGGCCCACAGAAUGUCACUGGGCUCCACCCACACUGCUCCCGUCAGCUUGGGACCAUCGGUCUCAUGUCCCAAGCAUCCCUACCGUAAUGGACCAGAACCUGUCAAACUGUAAGCCACAAUAAAUUCUUCCUUUUUAA
Long non-coding RNA from Jaculus jaculus (lesser Egyptian jerboa), 488 nucleotides. RefSeq lists it as uncharacterized. The record is from RefSeq and is a predicted model, not a curated record. Lineage: Eukaryota; Metazoa; Chordata; Mammalia; Rodentia; Dipodidae. The transcript is spliced from 2 exons.